AGCACAACUGAAUAGGCUCCUCAAGGGUGGUCGGCUCAUCCCCUCACGAAAGGGGGUGUUGCCAUAUCUGCACAUGAUGUCAUUUCGCUCAUGCUCCAAUUCGGGCUAUUUUUGAUCGCAGCCCUCACUUUGGUCGUGACGAUCAUGAAACAUAUGCUGGACAACCAGAAUAAAAAGAAAUAGACCGCCUUAUGAGUUGGACGCUCAGGCGGUCUAUUUCGUCCUGUAAGUCGUACGUGAGCCGACACCCUUGAUGGGUAUCAGUUGUGCAACGACCGUGGGUGUUACCAGCACCUGCG
This 299-nucleotide small RNA is filed under the name Tumebacillus flagellatus. Its description in RNAcentral is "BsrG". It matches the Rfam family "BsrG". From Rfam's summary of the family: bsrE, bsrG and bsrH pair through intermolecular interactions with antisense sRNAs. SR4 interaction with the 3'UTR of bsrG RNA promotes bsrG degradation and inhibits its translation. The record is from Rfam by way of RNAcentral. Lineage: Bacteria; Bacillati; Bacillota; Bacilli; Caryophanales; Alicyclobacillaceae.